UACGUAGGGGGCGAGCGUUGUCCGGAUUUAUUGGGUUUAAAGGGUGCGUAGGCGGCUUUGUAAGUCAGUGGUGAAAUACUCCAGCUUAACUGGAGGGGUGCCAUUGAUACUGCGGAGCUUGAGUACAGAUGAGGUAGGCGGAAUUGACGGUGUAGCGGUGAAAUGCAUAGAUAUCGUCAAGAACACCGAUAGCGAAGGCAGCUUACUGGGCUGUAACUGACGCUGAUGCACGAAAGUGUGGGGAGCAAACAGG
Molecule: ribosomal RNA, 253 nt
Filed under: uncultured bacterium
Lineage: Bacteria
Description: partial 16S ribosomal RNA
Rfam family: Bacterial small subunit ribosomal RNA
Source: RNAcentral